Molecule: ribosomal RNA, 405 nt
Filed under: uncultured bacterium
Lineage: Bacteria
Description: partial 16S ribosomal RNA
Rfam family: Bacterial small subunit ribosomal RNA
Source: RNAcentral
GAUGAACGCUGUCGGCGUGCCUAAUACAUGCAAGUCGAGCGAAGCGGGGACGGGUGAGUAACACGUUGAUAACCUCCUAUAAGACUGGGAUAACUUCGGGAAACCGGAGCUAAACCGGAUAUUUAUAGAUUGAUCCGCACUGAAUUAGCUAGUUGGUAAGGUAACGGCUUACCAAGGCAACGAUGCAUAGCCGACCUGUGAGGGUGAUCGAGCACACGAGAACUGAGACAGGAAGAAGACACAUACGGGAGGCAGCAGUAGGAAGUCUAACGCAAUGGGCGAAAGCAUGACCGAGAAAAUCAGCGUGAGUGAUGAAGGUCUUAGAAUCGUAAAACACUGUUAUUAGGGAAGCGGUACCAAAUCAGAAAGCCACGUCUAACUACGUGCCAGCAGACGCGGUAAUAC